GAUGAACGCUGGCGGCGUGCCUAAUACAUGCAAGUCGAGCGAACAGAUAAGGAGCUUGCUCCUUUGACGUUAGCGGCGGACGGGUGAGUAACACGUGUGUAACCUACCUAUAAGACUGGGAUAACUUCGGGAAACCGGCGCUAAUACCGGAUAACAUUUGGAACCGCAUGGUUCUAAAGUGAAAUAUGGUUUUGCUGUCACUUAUAGAUGGACCCGCGCCGUAUUAGCUAGUUGGUAAGGUAACGGCUUACCAAGGCAACGAUACGUAGCCGACCUGAGAGGGUGAUCGGCCACACUGGAGCUGAGACACGGUCAAGACUCCUACGGGAGGCAGCAGUAGGGAAUCUUCCGCAAUGGGCGAAAGCCUGACGGAGCAACGCCGCGUGAGUGAUGAAGGGUUUCGGCUCGUAAAACUCUGUUAUUAGGGAAGAACAAAUGUGUAAGUAACUGAGCACGUCUUGACGGUACCUAAUCAGAAAGCAACGGCUAACUACGUG
RNAcentral lists this ribosomal RNA (497 nucleotides) under uncultured bacterium. RNAcentral describes it as "partial 16S ribosomal RNA". It matches the Rfam family "Bacterial small subunit ribosomal RNA", at positions 28 to 507 of the family's 1533-position model. The record is from RNAcentral.